This 226-nucleotide ribosomal RNA is filed under the name uncultured Saccharicola. RNAcentral's name for it is "5.8S ribosomal RNA". The stretch from base 1 to 154 matches the Rfam family "5.8S ribosomal RNA". Rfam says of the family: 5.8S ribosomal RNA (5.8S rRNA) is a component of the large subunit of the eukaryotic ribosome. It is transcribed by RNA polymerase I as part of the 45S precursor that also contains 18S and 28S rRNA. Lineage: Eukaryota; Fungi; Ascomycota; Dothideomycetes; Pleosporales; Massarinaceae. The record is from RNAcentral.
AACUUUCAACAAUGGAUCUCUUGGUUCUGGCAUCGAUGAAGAACGCAGCGAAAUGCGAAAAGUAGUGUGAAUUGCAGAAUUCCGUGAAUCAUCGAAUCUUUGAACGCACAUUGCGCCCCUCGGUAUUCCGUGGGGCAUGCCUGUUCGAGCGUCGUUUACACCCUCAAGCUCUGCUUGGUGUUGGGCGUCUGUCCCGCUUUAUGCGUGGACUCGCCCCAAAGUCAUU